GACGAACGCUGGCGGCGUGCUUAACACAUGCAAGUCGAACGGGAAGGCCCUGCUUUUGUGGGGUGCUCGAGUGGCGAACGGGUGAGUAACACGUGAGUAACCUGCCCUUGACUUUGGGAUAACUUCAGGAAACUGGGGCUAAUACCGGAUAGGAGCUCCUGCGGCAUGGUGGGGGUUGGAAAGUUUCGGCGGUUGGGGAUGGACUCGCGGCUUAUCAGCUUGUUGGUGGGGUAGUGGCUUACCAAGGCUUUGACGGGUAGCCGGCCUGAGAGGGUGACCGGCCACAUUGGGACUGAGAUACGGCCCAGACUCCUACGGGAGGCAGCAGUGGGGAAUAUUGCACAAUGGGCGGAAGCCUGAUGCAGCAACGCCGCGUGCGGGAUGACGGCCUUCGGGUUGUAAACCGCUUUCGCCUGUGACGAAGCGUGAGUGACGGUAAUGGGUAAAGAAGCACCGGCUAACUACGUG
This 468-nucleotide ribosomal RNA is filed under the name uncultured bacterium. Its description in RNAcentral is "partial 16S ribosomal RNA". It matches the Rfam family "Bacterial small subunit ribosomal RNA", at positions 28 to 507 of the family's 1533-position model. The record is from RNAcentral.